GUAGGUGGCAAGCGUUGUCCGGAAUUAUUGGGCGUAAAGCGCGCGCAGGCGGUUCGUUUAAGUCUGAUGUGAAAGCCCACGGGCUCAACCGUGGAGGGUCAUUGGAAACUGGAGAACUUGAGUACAGAAGAGGAAAGCGGAAUUCCACGUGUAGCGGUGAAAUGCGUAGAGAUGUGGAGGAACACCAGUGGCGAAGGCGGCUUUCUGGUCUGUAACUGACGCUGAGGCGCGAAAGCGUGGGGAGCAAACAGGAUUAGAUACCCUGGUAGUCUACGCCGUAAACGAUGAGUGCUAAGUGUUAGGGGGUUUCCGCCCCUUAGUGCUGCAGCUAACGCAUUAAGCACUCCGCCUGGGGAGUACGGCCGCAAGGCUG
This 373-nucleotide ribosomal RNA is filed under the name uncultured organism. RNAcentral's name for it is "partial 16S ribosomal RNA". It matches the Rfam family "Bacterial small subunit ribosomal RNA", at positions 527 to 896 of the family's 1533-position model. The record is from RNAcentral.